Molecule: unclassified non-coding RNA, 328 nt
Filed under: soil metagenome
Description: partial contains 5.8S ribosomal RNA, internal transcribed spacer 2, and large subunit ribosomal RNA
Rfam family: 5.8S ribosomal RNA (bases 1-120)
Source: RNAcentral
GAUGAAGAACGUAGCGAAAUGCGAUAAGUAAUGUGAAUUGCAGAAUUCAGUGAAUCAUCGAAUCUUUGAACGCACAUUGCGCCCCUUGGUAUUCCGAGGGGCAUGCCUGUUCGAGCGUCAUUAUAACCCCUCAAGCUCAGCUUGGUGUUGGGGCCUGCCGCACGGGCAGCCCUUAAAAUCAGUGGCGGUGCUAUCUGGCUCUAAGCGUAGUAAUUCUUCUCGCUAUAGAGUCCCGGUGGAUGCUUGCCAUUAACCCCCAAUUUUCUAUGGUUGACCUCGGACCAGGUAGGGAUACCCGCUGAACUUAAGCAUAUCAAUAAGCGGAGGA